RNAcentral lists this ribosomal RNA (663 nucleotides) under uncultured ciliate. RNAcentral describes it as "SSU rRNA". It matches the Rfam family "Eukaryotic small subunit ribosomal RNA", at positions 329 to 1009 of the family's 1831-position model. Lineage: Eukaryota; Ciliophora. The record is from RNAcentral.
UAGUGUAUUGGACUACCAUGGCAGUCACGGGUAACGGGGAAUUAGGGUUCGAUUCCGGAGAGGGAGCCUGAGAAACGGCUACCACUUCUAAGGAAGGCAGCAGGCGGGUAAAUUACCCAAUCCUGAUUCAGGGAGGUAGUGACAAGAAAUAACAACUCGGAUCACUCUGUGAUUGCGAGAUUGCAAUGAGAACAAUUUAAACCACUUAUCAAGUAACAAUUGGAGGGCAAGUCUGGUGCCAGCAGCCGCGGUAAUUCCAGCUCCAAUAGCGUAUAUUAAAGUUGUUGCAGUUAAAAAGCUGGUAGUUGAAUUUCUGGCCAAUCUCAUGCUGCGCAUCUUGCCGGUAUGAGGUUUGGUCAUCCGUAGGGGAAGCUAGUACGUACUUCAAUGGACGGCUAGGGGAACCUACAAUUUACUGUGAAAAAAUUAGAGUGUUUCAGGCAGGCAAUCGCUUGGAUACUCCAGCAUGGAAUAAUGGAAUAGGACUUUGGUCUAUUUGUUGGUUUGAGAUCAAAGUAAUGAUUAAUAGGGACAGUUGGGGGCAUUCGUAUUUAAUUGUCAGAGGUGAAAUUCUUGGAUUUAUUAAAGACGGACUUAUGCGAAAGCAUUUGCCAAGGAGGUUUUCAUUUAUAAUCAACGAAAGUUAGGGGAUCAAAGAAGAUC